AACAAUCUCCUCUUGGCUGCCAGGAUGAAACUAGUCUGCAGUACCAAGCUGAAGUUAGUGAUAGUAAGGUUUUAGAAAAAACAGGUGUUGUUGAAUACAUUUGUUACAAGCGGAGAAAAAGAUAUCCAGACUGUGGAUGCUAAGCUGGUUUUGGAAGUAGUAGUUAUCUAUAUCUAGUAAGCUGGUAAAAUAUUAGAAAAAGAUGG
This 206-nucleotide unclassified non-coding RNA is filed under the name Hevea brasiliensis (rubber tree). Lineage: Eukaryota; Viridiplantae; Streptophyta; Magnoliopsida; Malpighiales; Euphorbiaceae. The record is from RNAcentral.